UGGUUCUCGCAUCGAUGAAGAACGCAGCGAAACGCGAUAUGUAAUGUGAAUUGCAGAAUGUGAAUCAUCGAAUCUUUGAACGCACAUUGCGCCCUCUGGUAUUCCAGAGGGCAUACCUGUUUGAGCGUCAGUUCAUUCUCAAAGGAAACUUUGGUAUUGGCUGAAUAAAAGGUUGUAUCGGCUGAAAGGAAUUGGUUAGAACGGAUGUAAUAAGAUUUCAUCUAGCUAACUAGAAUUUCUUUUUUUGUUGACCUCAAAUCAGGUAAGACUACCCGCUGA
RNAcentral lists this unclassified non-coding RNA (279 nucleotides) under uncultured fungus. RNAcentral describes it as "partial contains 5.8S ribosomal RNA and internal transcribed spacer 2". The stretch from base 1 to 130 matches the Rfam family "5.8S ribosomal RNA", at positions 22 to 154 of the family's 154-position model. The record is from RNAcentral. Lineage: Eukaryota; Fungi.